GGAAUUGCUGUCCCUUCUCAAGGCUGUGUAAACUCCCCCAAUCUCUCUCUCUCUAGGACCUGAGAGCAACAUGUUGUUGGAUUCUAUGUGGAAAGUCUGCUGAAGGUGGCGUCCUCAAAGAAGGCUACAAGGAACUUUGUGUCAAUUGAAGAGAAAUUCUCUGCCAACUUCAAGGUCACAUACAUGAGAAGGGCGAAGACCAAGAAACGGGAGCUAGAGAGGGAGCUGAAGGAGACAGGCGUGAGACUGUCUCCAUACAGCUCCAAUACUUCGCUCUGCAGCAAGCUGGUGGAAGAGGACUGCAAAGGGCUUGGGAGGGACCUUGCGUUCCUUACAAAGGACAUCCCCUUCCGCCUUACUGGCCAGCAGCUGCAAAAGGAAGGCUGUGCUCCUGAGGCAAGCAGUAACUCAGGCCAUUCGUGAAGUCUUUACAAGAAAAACAGAAAAACAACUUAGAGCCUUGUGGAGCCUUUACAAAUAGCCUCGUUUCUCGUGGUUGGGCGACGAAAGGGGGAACUGACAAUUGGGGUAGUUUGGUUCUGGGGGGAAGAAUAAUACGGACGGACGUCAACAAUCAAGCGCGACUGAAGGACUGGAAACGACGGUAAUCAAACAUUUCAAACAAGUGAUUUACGGUUAAGUUUAGGGUUAGGGUUAAGGUUUAAGUUUAAUGUUGGAGGAAGGGAGACAUGGCAUGAA
Molecule: long non-coding RNA, 699 nt
Organism: Engraulis encrasicolus (European anchovy)
Lineage: Eukaryota; Metazoa; Chordata; Actinopteri; Clupeiformes; Engraulidae
Exons: 4
Source: RefSeq, a predicted model, not a curated record